CGGGGUGUGGCGCAGCCAGGCUAGCGCGCCGCGUUUGGGACGCGGAGGUCGGAGGUUCGAGUCCUCUCACCCCGACCA
Molecule: transfer RNA, 78 nt
Filed under: Candidatus Nomurabacteria bacterium
Lineage: Bacteria; Candidatus Nomuraibacteriota
Description: tRNA-Pro
Rfam family: tRNA
About the family: Transfer RNA (tRNA) molecules are approximately 80 nucleotides in length. Their secondary structure includes four short double-helical elements and three loops (D, anti-codon, and T loops).
Source: RNAcentral